This 492-nucleotide ribosomal RNA is filed under the name uncultured bacterium. RNAcentral's name for it is "partial 16S ribosomal RNA". It matches the Rfam family "Bacterial small subunit ribosomal RNA", at positions 30 to 507 of the family's 1533-position model. The record is from RNAcentral.
AUUGAACGCUGGCGGCAUGCCUAACACAUGCAAGUCGAACGGCAGCGCGCCAACUGCUGGCGAUGAGGGGUGGAGAGGGGCGGAUUACAAAGGAAUACGUACGAACGUGUGUUUUAUCGAGGGGCAACGUUGGGAAAUAUACCAUACGAACGCCUAAGGUCAACGGGGGAUAGCAGGGGUCCUCGGGCCCUUUCGGGCUGAAAUGAGACGAUGUCGGAUUAGGUAGUUGGCGGGGUAAAGGCGCACCAAGGCGACGAUCCGUAGCUGGUCUGAGAGGACGAUCAGCCACACUGGGACUGAGACACGGCCCAGACUCCUACGGGAGGCAGCAGUGGGGAAUAUUGGACAAUGGGCGCAAGCCUGAUCCAGCCAUACCGCGUGCGUGAAGAAGGCCUUCGGGUUGUAAACUGCUUUUGUACGGAACGAAAAGCCAUCGUUUAAUACCGCGUUGUAGUGACGGUACCGAAAGAAUAAGCACCGGCUAACUUCGUG